This 599-nucleotide long non-coding RNA is filed under the name Cricetulus griseus (Chinese hamster). Its description in RNAcentral is "lncRNA (ENSCGRG00015034724.1)". The record is from RNAcentral. Lineage: Eukaryota; Metazoa; Chordata; Mammalia; Rodentia; Cricetidae.
CUCCAUCUUCAUGAAUGAGAUUCAUGCCCUGACAUGAUAGGACUAAGGGAGUUUGUUCAUCUCUUCUGUGUUGUGAGGAUGCAGAAGGAGAGGGCUGUGUAUGAAGCAGCAUGGAAGCUGUCACCAGCCCCAGUGCAAACAUGACUUCAACUAAAGAGGGGCUUGCUGAAGCUUAAAGACAGAACUCUUCCAUCCUUAUAGGCCUUUCUGGGUGAUGCAAGCUGCUCAAUGGAAGCAACAAAGCACGCCAACUGAGGAGAGUCCUUCGGUACUGAGCAGCCAUGGGGGAGUCAGACUGCUGGCUCAUCCUUCUUCUUUCUCUUCUUCCUGCCACCCGACAUUCCAUCUGCCUUCUGGGUAAAACAUGCUGUCAGUCCUAGGAACCAGCCUGUUAGAAUUGUGGGCAGAGAAGAUGGAGAAUGGACUUCUGAUCCCCUGGGGAAGAGAAGUUUCUGUUGGAGGUACUGUCUGGCUCCUAGUUUGUGCCACCAGCCCUAGUGUCAGCUACUCACAGCUGAUAUCAGCAGACAAAGAAGCCCUGACAAUCACCAGGAAUAUAAAACUGCCUCAGGCCGGUCCUUUUCCUGAAGAAGUUGCUG